UCGAGGCUCCUUAUGUUGUAGAACUAGUGGUUCUUGUCGAACCUGAGGUAAAGUUGUUUCUCCAAGUACCGAAAUUUGAGGCUGGUGUAGUUUAGAUUGUGCUAUCCUAGAUACUUUAUCAUUAUGAAGCCUUGCCACCACUCUUUCAAUCUCUGCAGUUCUUUGUGAUAACGUAGCGAGGGCAUUCAUAAUAGCAUCUAACUUAGACUCCGAACUUUCUGUCAUACUAAUGUCUUGACCUCCGACCAUUCUAAAAGAAGGACAAAAAUGACCCUAUAAGAGGCAAUAUUGGUUUAUAGGAGGGUAAUCCAAAACCUAUAAAACACCUUAAGAAUUUCAAGAAGAGGGGUAAUCCACUCUCUCCAAGAAGAAUAAGACUCCAAUAUUGUAACAGAAGAAGUAUCAAUUUAGAGGAGGGUAAUCCGCAACCUCUAAAAAAUGCUAGUAUACCUUCAAGUAGAGGUGUAAUCCACACUCUACUAAGAAAGAACUAGCUCUGAUAUCUCAAGUUAGUGUAGUCUCGACAAACUGUCACGGACACAAAAUACAGACUUGAAAUCUAACAAGAAGUUCAAGAAGAAGUGGUAGAACUAGAUUAAACAGAUGAGUACAAGAACAACACUAGAAAGGUGAGCUAGAACUCCAA
This 646-nucleotide long non-coding RNA is filed under the name Physcomitrium patens. RNAcentral describes it as "long non-coding RNA (PPAT_LNC010682)". The record is from RNAcentral. Lineage: Eukaryota; Viridiplantae; Streptophyta; Bryopsida; Funariales; Funariaceae.